GGAGGGACGGAGGGAAGAUGGCUGCAGAGACCGGAUAUUGGCGCUGCCUCCCCGAAUCCCGGACCUGCGCUGAGGAGGCGGUUCAUCUGUGGCCAGCGGUGCUUCGGGACCCGCGCUGGGGGAACCCUGGCGACGGGGCCUGGCCCUGCUAUAUGCGGGGGCCUCGGCUGGAGUGAGCGGCGUGGACGCCUCUUUCCUCCGGCUCUUCCCUUGUUGCUGCGAGAGCGAGAGGGCCGCGGGCGGCGGAGGCAGCGGGGCCGGGAUGGAGGACGUUAACUCUAACGUGAACGCGGACCAGGAGAGAGUUUCAUUCUGUCGCCCAGGCUGGAGUGCAAUGGCGCGAUCUCGGCUCACUGCAACCUCUGUCUCCCAGGUUCAGGAAAAUGGCUUUGUAAAGAAGCUUGAGCCUAAAUCUGGCUGGAUGACUUUUCUAGAAGUUACAGGAAAGAUCUGUGAAAUGCUCUUCUGUCCUGAAGCAAUACUGUUGACCAGAAAGGACACUCCAUAUUGUGAAACCGGCCUAAUUUUUCUGACUCUUACGAAAACGAUUGCCAACACAUACUUCUACUUUUAAAUAAACAACUUUGAUGAUGUAACUUGACCUUCCAGAGUUACAGAAAUUUUGUCCCUAUUUAAUGAAUAAAUUGUAUGUAUUUUUCUCUA
Homo sapiens (human) is the source of this 663-nucleotide long non-coding RNA. RefSeq annotates it as suppressor of tumorigenicity 20. The record is from RefSeq and is marked validated. Lineage: Eukaryota; Metazoa; Chordata; Mammalia; Primates; Hominidae. The transcript has 3 exons.